UCUCCCACGCUGCAGUCGGUGGCUCUGGCCGGAAUCAGACCCGGAAUCGGAAUCGCAAUCGCUAUCGGAAUCGCAAUCCGAAUCGGAAUCGGAAUCUUGCCCGGAUUGCCAAGCGGACUGGGAGUGAGAGCGUGUAUUUUUAGUGCUUGCGUGCGAAAUUUUGUUGGUGUCAAAGUUAAACAAUUUACGUGAGAUUGCAAGGACAGGCCAAGAAGAAGCAGCAGUAG
RNAcentral lists this small RNA (227 nucleotides) under Drosophila yakuba. Its description in RNAcentral is "GE29116". The record is from RNAcentral. Lineage: Eukaryota; Metazoa; Arthropoda; Insecta; Diptera; Drosophilidae.